RNAcentral lists this ribosomal RNA (497 nucleotides) under uncultured bacterium. Its description in RNAcentral is "partial 16S ribosomal RNA". It matches the Rfam family "Bacterial small subunit ribosomal RNA", at positions 28 to 507 of the family's 1533-position model. The record is from RNAcentral.
GAUGAACGCUGGCGGCGUGCCUAAUACAUGCAAGUCGAGCGAACAGACGAGGAGCUUGCUCCUCUGACGUUAGCGGCGGACGGGUGAGUACCACGUGGAUAACCUACCUAUUAGACUGGGAUAACUUCGGGAAACCGGAGCUACUACCGGAUAAUAUAUUGAACCGCAUUGUUCACUAGUGAAAGACGGUUUUGCUGUCACUUAUAGAUGGAUCCGCGCCGCAUUAGCUAGUUGGUAAGGUAACUGCUUACCAAAGCAACGAUGCAUAGCCGACCUGAGCGGGUGGUCGGCCACACUGGAAGAGAGACACGGUCCAGACACCUACGGGAGGCAGCAGUAGGGAAUCUUCCGCAAGGGGGGAAAGCCGGACAGAGCAAAGCCGCGGGAGUGAUGAAGGACUUCGGAUCGUAAAACGCUGUUAGUAGGGAAGAACAAAUGUGUAAGUAACUGUGCACAUCUUGACGGUACCUAAACAGAAAGCCACGGCUAACUACGUG